AUACCGCAUAAGCCCACGGUGCCGCAUGGCACAGCGGGAAAAGGAUUUAUUCGCUUCAGGAUGGACUCGCGUCCAAUUAGCUAGUUGGUGAGGUAACGGCCCACCAAGGCGACGAUUGGUAGCCGGACUGAGAGGUUGAACGGCCACAUUGGGACUGAGACACGGCCCAGACUCCUACGGGAGGCAGCAGUGGGGGAUAUUGCACAAUGGGGGAAACCCUGAUGCAGCGACGCCGCGUGGAGGAAGAAGGUUUUCGGAUUGUAAACUCCUGUCGUUAGGGACGAAUCAUGACGGUACCUAACAAGAAAGCACCGGCUAACUACGUGCCAGCAGCCGCGGUAAAACGUAGGGUGCAAGCGUUGUCCGGAAUUACUGGGUGUAAAGGGAGCGCAGGCGGACCGGCAAGUUGGAAGUGAAAUCUAUGGGCUCAACCCAUAAAUUGCUUUCAAAACUGCUGGCCUUGAGUAGUGCAGAGGUAGGUGGAAUUCCCGGUGUAGCGGUGGAAUGCGUAGAUAUCGGGAGGAACACCAGUGGCGAAGGCGACCUACUGGGCACCAACUGACGCUGAGGCUCGAAAGCAUGGGUAGCAAACAGGAUUAGAUACCCUGGUAGUCCAUGCCGUAAACGAUGAUUACUAGGUGUUGGAGGAUUGACCCCUUCAGUGCCGCAGUUAAC
Molecule: ribosomal RNA, 675 nt
Filed under: uncultured bacterium
Lineage: Bacteria
Description: bacterial SSU rRNA
Rfam family: Bacterial small subunit ribosomal RNA
Source: RNAcentral